CUCUCUGGCGUCCCUUCCUCCACCACCAUAACCACCGUCACCAACACCCACCUGUCACCACACCCUACCUGCAACCACCAACACCACCAUCCACCCGCCAACACCCCCACCUAUUCCCAACAACUCAAUCCAAUCAUCUCCAACAUUCGGUUCGGCUCAACCGACCCGGACCCUGAUUCGACUGAUAUCAGAAUUACCUGAUAUGACCUGUUUCCAUACCGAAGAGAUAGUUUGAAGAAAGGGACUGUGAUGAUCCAACACCAUACCUUCUUGCUGUAUGGUAUCCAGAACAUGCAGAAAACAGAGCAUGUAUGGCAGCUAACAGUAAUCAAGAGGAAACCGUUAAAGCAACCAUCUUGAAUGGAAGACAUAGUUGUUGACUGGUACCAUCGGCAACCGUGAGUACUUGCGGAUGUGCGAAGGCAAUAUACCGGAUGUCGUUGUUAGGCCUACUCAACCAUUGGUUUUAUAAUGCACAUAUUGAAUCGUUCACAAACUUUUACUCCUUUAAGCGUUCAACAAAUAGUUGAUUGCUAUGACCAAUACGAAAAUGAGUUAGCAAAAAGGGGGCAUACCACACCGUGUCUUUCGGUACAUAGCCUAUACGAAUCAAGGAAGAGUUUAUAGUGUAGCUGAUUAUCCGAGUAGGGAUGGUAACUAUAUCCGUAAGAGGGAAUGUACAACUGAAACGCUACAACCAACGUUUACAAUUGAUGGAUUCAAUGUGAUUGAGGAUGACGAACCGAAUCUUGAAGCCAUCGUACAGUUACAACCCGAGCGAGACCCGACAUAAUUCUGCAUUUAGUUUAGAUAACCCCAUUAAAACGUGGCCCGACCCAUAAGGUUUAAUAUGAGUUGUAACUAGGGGUGUUUUUCAUGUUUUUAUCGGGUCGGGUUCUUCAAAGAUGGAAAUAUAACCCAAUAAUCGAAUCAUUCUAGAUUUGGGUUUUAUGGUUAUCGGGUUUUAUCGGGCUGGGUUUUUCAGAUUUCGAGUUAAGUAUAUUCUUUUUUUAACUAUAUGCGAAAGGGCUAAAUAAAUAUUACAAGGCUGCAUAUUUAAAAGGUGAAAUAAUAUCCAUGCACAGAACCAAGUUGAUGAAUCGGCUUAAUAGGUAUCUCCAUAACCUAAAGCACACAGAUACCCCACUCAAAAGAUAUCCAAAAUCAGUUGUUUCUUGUGUUUAAUACAAUACCUUGAUCAACUCGAUUAUAAAUCUUCUCGAAGGAUUUGACAUAUCAUUACCCGACAUCACCAGCAUAGGCUCAACCUCUUGAUGGUGGUGCGGAGUAAAUGAAAUAAGGGAAUUUGUGGUCUCGUUGGAUGAAUACCCAUUUUAAUAAGCUCGUCAUGGUGAUCAGUAGCAACUGUCUCCUUGGAAAUUUGGCAUCUUGGGUGGAUAAUCCUUUCUGAUGAGCAAUAAUACUUUGGAAAUAAGCUCCCACUAUAACCCUGCGA
Helianthus annuus (common sunflower) is the source of this 1456-nucleotide long non-coding RNA. RefSeq lists it as uncharacterized. NCBI's taxonomy places the organism in Eukaryota, Viridiplantae, Streptophyta, Magnoliopsida, Asterales, Asteraceae. The record is from RefSeq and is a predicted model, not a curated record. The transcript is spliced from 6 exons.